GACGAACGCUGGCGGCGUGCUUAACACAUGCAAGUCGAACGGUAAGGCCCUUCGGGGUACACGAGUGGCGAACGGGUGAGUAACACGUGGGUGAUCUGCCCUGCACUUCGGGAUAAGCCUGGGAAACUGGGUCUAAUACCGGAUAGGACCCUGGGAUGCAUGUCCUGGGGUGGAAAGCUUUUGCGGUGUGGGAUGGGCCCGCGGCCUAUCAGCUUGUUGGUGGGGUGAUGGCCUACCAAGGCGACGACGGGUAGCCGGCCUGAGAGGGUGACCGGCGGCACUGGGACUGAGAUACGGCCCAGACUCCUACGGGAGGCAGCGGUGGGGAAUAUUGCACAAUGGGCGCAAGCCUGAUGCAGCGACGCCGCGUGAGGGAUGACGGCCUUCGGGUUGUAAACCUCUUUCAGCACCGACGAAGCGCAAGUGACGGUAGGUGCAGAAGAAGGACCGGCCAACUACGUGCCAGCAGCCGCCGCAG
RNAcentral lists this ribosomal RNA (478 nucleotides) under uncultured bacterium. RNAcentral describes it as "partial 16S ribosomal RNA". It matches the Rfam family "Bacterial small subunit ribosomal RNA", at positions 28 to 523 of the family's 1533-position model. The record is from RNAcentral.